CUUGCUUGCUCAANCUAAGGCAUGCAUGUCUAAGUAUAAGNAUUNUACUGCGNAACUGCGAAUGGCNCAUUAAAACAGNAAUAGUUUAUUUGACAAUCUCACUUAUAUGGAUACCCGUANNAAUUCUAUGAGCUAAUACAUGCUGNACUCCUAACUUUUUGGAAGGGAGGUAUUUAUUAGAUAAUAACCAAUAUUCCGUAGGUCUAUCGAGGUGAAUCAUAAUAACUGAUCGAAUCGCACAGCCUUUGGCUGCGAUAAGUCAUUCAAGUUUCUGCCCCAUCANCUUUANAUGGUAGNGUAUUGGACUACCAUGGCGUNCACGGNUAACGGAGGAUUAGGGUUCGAUUCCGGAGAGGNAGCCUGAGAAACGNCUACCACAUCCAAGGAAGGNAGCAGCCGCGNAAAUUACCCAAUCCUGACUCNNGGAGGNAGUGACAAGAAAUAACAAGNGGAGGCCUAGCCACCGAAUUGCAAUGAGCCGAAUUUACACCACUUACUGAGGACCAAUUGGAGGNCNAGNGUGGU
This 525-nucleotide ribosomal RNA is filed under the name uncultured marine eukaryote. RNAcentral describes it as "partial 18S ribosomal RNA". It matches the Rfam family "Eukaryotic small subunit ribosomal RNA", at positions 33 to 565 of the family's 1831-position model. The record is from RNAcentral.